UUACGACCACAUCAUGAUGGAAGACCGCUUCCCGUACGAACACCGAAUUUAAACAACGUUGAACCUGGUCAUUACCUAGAUGUGCGACCGCUUGGGAAUAUCAGAUGCCGUAAG
Non-coding RNA from Acanthosepion pharaonis, 114 nucleotides. The record is from the annotation of a GenBank genome assembly. Lineage: Eukaryota; Metazoa; Mollusca; Cephalopoda; Sepiida; Sepiidae.